Long non-coding RNA from Cylas formicarius (sweet potato weevil), 893 nucleotides. RefSeq lists it as uncharacterized. NCBI's taxonomy places the organism in Eukaryota, Metazoa, Arthropoda, Insecta, Coleoptera, Brentidae. The record is from RefSeq and is a predicted model, not a curated record. The transcript has 3 exons.
UUUAAACGGCUAAAUCGCACCGCGUUGAUCCCACACAAUACAUAGCCGGAGCUUAGAUCCAAGACUUUCUUCGUUUAGUGUUGUCGUAAUAAAUCCACUGUUCGUCUCCAGUGACAGUAAGCAGUGAAGCAGUAAAUCACAAAUCAAAAAUCGCUUUUGUUGUUUAUGUUCUGAAAAACAAUUAACAGUUGUUUUCGCGUGAAAUUACUCCUGUAGAUAUUGAAAAAUAUUGAAUACUAGUGGGAAAGGUGAUGAUGCAUACCUAAGUGCAUUUUUGGAAUUAACUUUAAAAAAAUUUUGAGGAACAUUCACUGUGAGGACGGUAAGAAGCCUUACAAAAUACUGGCCAGCUUUCUAGCCGAUCAGUUUCAGUGUGCUAAUAUAUAACGCAAUAACAGUUUAUUUUGCCGCAAAUACUAAACCGUAACUGUAAAAGCUUAACCUUUACUGUACUUGGAUAUGUGACCCUCACUGAUGCAGGCUACCCAAGUGCGUUAUCCUCUUGUAGAGGUUUGCAGGGACUAAAUUGGGAACUAAUUACUUUUACUUCAUAAGGAGUUGAAUUUACGUCCUACGGAGUCUAGAGAUUAACAUUCCCAAACUCUAGAAGGGCAGGGUUUCACCCGCUCGAUACUGGAUGAGAAAAUUGCACGGAUCACAUCUGAUGCGUAUGUAAACUAGUUUGCCUUUGCAUUUUUAUGUUAACAGGCUAAACAGCUUAUUAGCAUUCUUUCAAACUUUCAGAUAAGGUUCGUUAGCUCGACUAAUAAAUACGAAACCAAAAAUAGAUUCAUUAUUUCGCAGUAAAUAUUACCAUUAAUUACCAUUUAAAUGAAAUUUGCAUCGCAUAUUUUAAUACAAUUAUACUAGUUAUUUUGUUAAACACUUUGAGU